GCCGUCGCUCUGAAGUGGCAUCAACCUCCGCCCAGAAACUCUGCCUCUUCCUCUUCACGUUUAAAUGCCAGCAGAGACUCAAACAGAUCUACCGACACCGAUGGCUGUGGCAAGAAUUGGACUUUCCAUAAGGAUUCUGUAAGGAAAUGACUGGCUGAGUCGCGAUUUCCGAGGUAAAGUGAAGAGCUUGCUGGAAAUGAUUGUCCUCGUUGAGUACUAUAAUGAAACAAGCGGCGCUAGAAGCCUAUUCAGUAACGUUACAGAUAGAUGUGUAGAAGAAACUCUUACACUCAUCCACUGACAUGAUCAAAACAAACGCACGUCGGACCCGACAAGGAUGGUCUCUGAUCGCUUUCUUGGAUCUGCGAGGGGGAUAUGAACUGACACCGGGGCUGGACUGUCCUUUGUGCUGUUCUCUGCGCAACACAACUUGAAGCACAUACUCAGACUAUCAUACACACAUGCACAGUGAUACGUGUGGUGUUACAAGGGCAGAAAACAACGUGUCUACUAGUGAUGGCGUAGCUAGAAGAAACAACAUGUCCUUCCAGCACAGAUGGCAAGUUUCAUUGGGGAUCUUGCUUGUGAUAGCAGGCCUAGUGCUCUUUAUGACAAUGCAUAUGUACAAGGGUAUGUACAUUGUUCUCAUUAGCAUACCUAUAGUGUGUCUGGGCCUUUUUAUUCUCAUCCGUGCCUUCUGCAUGGUCAUUAAAUCCAGUCAUGUAGCUGUGCCGGGUCACUUCCUUCUACACCCGCGAACAGGCACCCGUUACACCCACCAUCAAGCCAUUGCGGUGCAAAGGAGGCUGGAUCGCAUCCGGAGGGCUACGGCAGAGGAGCAAAGUCCAGUCCAAGUGCCUCCCAUCUCAGACAUCAGUCCACAGAGCCAACCUGCAACCCCUCCCCCCUGGCAAAUGGAGCCGCCGCCGUCUUAUGAGACUGUUAUGAAGACCACUACAGCAGUAAACCAAGUAUAACCACUGGUUUGACUGUAGACACUGACACGUUAUGAUUGAAAAGUUGGUUUAAUUGGGGGUGCACAGAUAGUAAAAAUCUGUCAGUCACAGUUCAUUAUUUUCGUUUUAUGGCUGAUAGCUGAUAAAUGGCCAUAUUAAACUCUAUUCUACAUAAAUAAAUAAAUACUUUAAAUGCUACAACUUAAUGUAGGCAUCAAAACAGCAAUG
RNAcentral lists this long non-coding RNA (1184 nucleotides) under Sinocyclocheilus grahami. RNAcentral describes it as "lncRNA (ENSSGRG00000054116.1)". Lineage: Eukaryota; Metazoa; Chordata; Actinopteri; Cypriniformes; Cyprinidae. The record is from RNAcentral.